GAACGAGAAAGUGGAGCAAUCCAUGAGUAAAGUGGCGACCGGGUGAGUAACACGUGACUAACCUACCUCCGAGUGGGGAAUAACUCCGGGAAACCGGGGCUAAUACCGCAUAACAUCGCGAGAUCAAAGGAGCAAUGCGCUUGGAGAGGGGGUCGCGGCUGAUUAGCUAGUUGGCGGGGUAACGGCCCACCAAGGCGAAGAUCGGUAUCCGGCCUGAGAGGGCGCACGGACACACUGGAACUGAAACACGGUCCAGACUCCUACGGGAGGCAGCAGUGGGGAAUUUUGCGCAAUGGGGGAAACCCUGACGCAGCAACGCCGCGUGGAGGAUGAAGUCCCUUGGGACGUAAACUCCUUUCGACCAAGACGAUAAUGACGGUACUGGUGGAAGAAGCACCGGCUAACUCUGUG
RNAcentral lists this ribosomal RNA (411 nucleotides) under uncultured bacterium. RNAcentral's name for it is "bacterial SSU rRNA". It matches the Rfam family "Bacterial small subunit ribosomal RNA", at positions 64 to 507 of the family's 1533-position model. The record is from RNAcentral.